UGCAGCUGUGUCAAAUUCAUUGCCCACCUUUUCAGUGGUGGGCAUUGGUCCAAACAGCUGCCACAGCAACAUCUGUAGUUCAUGGGCCUCAGAACUCUUUGUGAGCUCUGGGGAUAGUUUUUCUGCAGACACUG
Molecule: small nucleolar RNA, 134 nt
Organism: Sceloporus undulatus (fence lizard)
Lineage: Eukaryota; Metazoa; Chordata; Lepidosauria; Squamata; Phrynosomatidae
Product: small nucleolar RNA SNORA5
Exons: 1
Source: RefSeq, a predicted model, not a curated record